RNAcentral lists this unclassified non-coding RNA (164 nucleotides) under soil metagenome. RNAcentral's name for it is "partial internal transcribed spacer 1". The record is from RNAcentral.
AAGAGACGUUGCCCUUCGGGGUAUACCUCCCACCCUUUGUUUAUUAUACCUUUGUUGCUUUGGCAGGGCCCGUCCUCGGACCACUAGGCUUCUGCUAGGUCAGUGCCCGCUAGAGGACCUAAAACUCUGUUUGUUAAUAUUGUCUGAGUACUAUAUAAUAGUCA